Molecule: non-coding RNA, 45 nt
Organism: Schistosoma curassoni
Lineage: Eukaryota; Metazoa; Platyhelminthes; Trematoda; Strigeidida; Schistosomatidae
Source: Rfam
AUCCAGCUGACGAGUCCCGAACAGGACAAAACACGCGUCCUGGAU